UAUAUUUUUUUUAUCAUCAUGGCCAUCCUUACUAUCAUUUUUAAGUGGCCACAUAGAUACAUAACUGGCCUGCCUCGUAAACAACAGUGUCUUCUUUUAUUGAUGUUGCAGGAUGGGCUUCUCAUUUUCUCUGCUGACUUCGUAGAGUUGUUUGAGCAAACAGUAAAUUCAGUUAGUGUGGAUAGACAGCACCACAAACUCAGUGGUCAGCUUUUCCUCAAGAUGAUGCUUCCUCACUUGGUGACUCAAGAGUCCAGUUACAAUCACACCCACCUCCUUCCACAGAUUAUUUGAGAACAUCUUUGAAAGGUACAUGAAAUUAAUACCAUGGGUCCUCUUCAGAGAGAAGAAUGUCAACACUGGAAGCUAAGAAGCAUGAUAACACCACAGCUAACACCGAAGAUGCUAACAUUCUCUGCAUGCCCACCUAGCAAAGAUGUUCCACAAAAUCUUUACUUCCUCAGGUGUUACUGCAUGUUAACUGAGCUCUUACUACAUGCUAGGUGCUGUUCUACCCUCUGUUAGUAAAGACAUUUUAAAACAUUCAUUUAUUUUUGUAAAGAUAUAAGGCAGAAAACGAGAGAACUUGUCUUCAGCUCUGGGGAAACAAAAUCCAAUUCGACACUCACUUUUCUUAUUGCUUUGAAUGAAUAGACAAAUUUUUAAGCAUUUUGUAUGGUUUUGACAAAUAAUCGUGAGUAUUUUCAAAGCAUUUCGGAAGAAAGUGGUGUUUGUGCUCUGUUCAGUGGAAUUAACAGAUGGUAGCCUAGACUGCAUAGCAGCUAUUCUGGUCAUUACUUAUUCUGGCACAGGGCAUGGAAACGUUUUGUUUUGUUAAAGCUAAUAAAUCUGUACUGAUACGCACGGAAGUGAAUAGAUAAAAAUCAUAUUUUAAAAUGCACUUUAAUUCUGGAAAAAAUAUCUCUUGCUUUCUGCUGUUAAACACAUGUUCUUUACGUAUAAAUAGUACAAAAGUUACAAUACAUGAAUUCUGUUCCAUGAAAUUUUCUUAAUUACCUACACUGAGAUUUGAAAUUCAAAACAAAACAAAACAAAACAAAACCCCUUUGUUGUGACAUAUAAAUCGAACUCCAUAGGUUUGCCACCCAGACCCUCUGCAACCUCAAAACCUCAAAACCUGCUCUCUGAAAGCCCCCACCCACCGCACCUUUGGAAAAAAAAAAAAAAAGUUUUGGCGUUUACUUCAGACCCAGACAAGAUAAAGUGGGCCUUCAGUUUUGCAAGAGCAGACAAUUGUAGGUUUCCAAUUUAGAUAAGGUUUUGAAGAGAAUGAUUUAAA
Long non-coding RNA from Canis lupus familiaris (dog), 1300 nucleotides. RefSeq lists it as uncharacterized. NCBI's taxonomy places the organism in Eukaryota, Metazoa, Chordata, Mammalia, Carnivora, Canidae. The record is from RefSeq and is a predicted model, not a curated record. The transcript is spliced from 3 exons.